This 65-nucleotide transfer RNA is filed under the name Colletes gigas. RNAcentral describes it as "tRNA-Asn". Lineage: Eukaryota; Metazoa; Arthropoda; Insecta; Hymenoptera; Colletidae. The record is from RNAcentral.
UUAAUUGAAACCAAAAAGAGGUAAAUUAUUGUUAAUAAUUUAAUUGAAAUUAAUUUCCAAUUAAA